This 253-nucleotide ribosomal RNA is filed under the name uncultured bacterium. RNAcentral describes it as "partial 16S ribosomal RNA". It matches the Rfam family "Bacterial small subunit ribosomal RNA", at positions 524 to 776 of the family's 1533-position model. The record is from RNAcentral.
GACGAACCGUCCAAACGUUGUUCGGAUUCAUUGGGCGGAAAGGGUGCGUAGGCGGCGCGGUAAGUCGGGUGUGAAAUCUCGGGGCUUAACUCCGAAACUGCAUUCGAUACUGCCGUGCUUGAGGACUGGAGAGGAGACUGGAAUUUACGGUGUAGCGGUGAAAUGCGUAGAUAUCGUAAGGAAGACCAGUGGCGAAGGCGGGUCUCUGGACAGUUCCUGACGCUGAGGCACGAAGGCCAGGGGAGCAAACGGG